RNAcentral lists this ribosomal RNA (497 nucleotides) under uncultured bacterium. RNAcentral's name for it is "partial 16S ribosomal RNA". It matches the Rfam family "Bacterial small subunit ribosomal RNA", at positions 28 to 507 of the family's 1533-position model. The record is from RNAcentral.
GAUGAACGCUGGCGGCGUGCCUAAUACAUGCAAGUCGAGCGAACAGACGAGGAGCUUGCUCCUCUGACGUUAGCGGCGGACGGGUGAGUAACACGUGGAUACCCUACCUAUAAGACUGGGAUAACUUCGGGAAACCGGAGCUAAUACCGGAUAAUAUAUUGAACCGCAUGGUUCAAUAGUGAAAGACGGUUUUGCUGUCUCUUCUAGAUGGAUCCGCGCCGCAUUAGCUAGUUGGUAAGGUAACGGCUUACCAAGGCAACGAUGCGUAGCCGACCUGAGAGGGGGAUAGGCCACACUGGAACUGAGACACGGUCCAGACUACUACGGGAGGCAGCAGUAGGGAAUCUUCCGCAAUGGGCGAAAGCCUGACGGAGCAACGCCGCGUGAGUGAUGAAGGUCUUCGGAUCGUAAAACUCUGUUAUUAGGGAAGAACAAAUGUGUAAGUAACUAUGCACGUCUUGACGGUACCUAAUCAGAAAGCCACGGCUAACUACGUG